RNAcentral lists this long non-coding RNA (2752 nucleotides) under Malus domestica (apple). RNAcentral's name for it is "long non-coding RNA (MDOM_LNC003382)". The record is from RNAcentral. Lineage: Eukaryota; Viridiplantae; Streptophyta; Magnoliopsida; Rosales; Rosaceae.
AAACCUACAGCCCAUCUCAAGCAACCUCCUCGUUUAUCUACAACAUGCCUACAAGACUCAUCAUACUGCAACUAGCCUCAAGUUUAGUAACGGUUUGGACCAGGAUUGACUCCAGCAUCCCUGUCUGGCGUGUAGUUAUUCUGGUAUUGUCCAGGAUCAUUCCAUCCUGCAUUAGAAGGUGGAGCCAUGUUGUUUGGUGGCACCCCUCCCGGGUUAUUGGGAGGCAUCUGAUUGUAGUUGUUGGGCGGCAUCUGAUUGUAGCUGUUGGGAGGCACCUGAUUAUAGCUGUUCGGUGGCCCAGAAUUCCAGUUGUUGCUUGGCUGGGGAUUAUUGUAGUUGUUUGGUGGACCCAUGUUGGGAGGCGGCAUUGGAGCCCUGUUCGGGGGUGGAGGACCCAUGUUGGGAGGCUGCAUUGGACCCCUGUUGGGGGGUGGAGGACCCAUGUUGGCAGGUCCAGGUCCCGAAUUUGGCCCAGCUUGAUUAGGCAUAGGAGAUGGACCCGUAUUCUGAAAAUCACGAUUCUGCAUAUUUUCCCUUCUCCUUUCAAAGUUCCUUGAUCUGUCAAAGUUACGAGGUCUGUCAUUACGCCUGUUUCUCUCAUUUGCUCGACUAUUGUUUCUUAUCCAUUCCUCAUGGUACUUGGGAUCAUAUGGCACUGCUUGGCCAUUAAUAAAAGGUUCACCUGCCAAAACAAACAAGAAAGCAAACAAAUCAUGAAUAAUAGAAUUUUCCUGGUUAACUUAGUUGAAAACAAUAUAGAAAAGGCUAUACAAUGUAGAAAAAACACACGCUGUUUAAUAUUACUAUAACUCUCGGUACCUGGACCACAAUUCUUGGGAGUACAGAAAUUUUGAAAUGAAAAUUACCAUGGAUCAUUUUUUCGGAUGCAAUCGACACACGAAACUGGUUAGUUCAAAAUUAUGAUAUUUUACAUGAAAACUCUGUACACAAUAUUCACUAGGGUUGCAGAAAGCCUUCAACAGGUUAUAUUUCACCGGUUCUACACACCACUAGCACUGCUACAACAUCAACUGCCUAAUAACUUUCAUCUGUAACAUUCUAGAGCCUCAAACUAUCCUUUGUCAGAAAAAAUAAAGAAAUAAAUUUAAAAUCAAAAUAUCAUCAGACUGCCAGAGCUAUUACGGAAUGGGACUUAUGACUUAAAUGAAUCGAUUGCUAUAAAUAAUUUGUUUUCUUUGAAAUUCAACUUGAAGAAACAAGCAUAUCCGUACCUCCAUAAUCUUUGUUCUUAACAUCCAAGUAGGAAUCAGGAAGUACCCAACGGACUCCAGGCAACUCUGCAACAAGAAUUUUACAAAUACACACACAUGUAUAAAUAUGAGAACCCAGACACAAGAAAAUAAUAAAAUCCCAACUUAGAAGCAGAAUCACCUUUGAUUUUGAGUGAAACCUCUUCAGAUACAAGUGCCCCAAACGCAUAAUAGCACCUAGUUGAAACUGAGUAGAUCUUCAUUCUUGCUUCUUCCUCACUGCAGUUCAGCCGAAUGCGUACAAGCAAUCCAAACUUGGUUAUAUAAAUCUUCAUUACAAAAUAUAAAUCAUAGGAAACACAAACAAUAGGAAUACAGUACAAUCCUAUGUGCUUUUUGAAAUGUGAAAGCCAUGAAUCUUACAAAAACUUUAGUCUGUAAAAAAAAAGUGAUCAAGACCAUGCUAUAAGAAACAUGAUUAAGACCAUACUAUUUAAGAGAUCAUUAAGACCCUGCCACAAAGUGGGGUUAUAGUUUAGAUUUUGAACAUCAAAAGCCUACAAAAAAAGUUAAUGAGUUUUGCUUUUGUUAGAACUUCAAAACAUAAAACCCAACAUUAAGAAUUGCACCCCCAAAUUUUGGCUGAAAUAUACAGAAACAAAAGAAAUUUAGCAAAACACACACAUUUAUGUGAUAUAAAAAAAAUAAAGUCAAAAACCCUACAAAAAUGAUAUAAAGGCCAAUUGCAAUUACAAAAUCAUUUCCUAUCUUACUACAGCUAUAGUGAUCCCAAAUUCAGACCAUAACAAAACAGCUGCAUACAACAGAAAGCCAUUAACUUUUACAGAGCACGGUAUCAAGAAAAUGUUCAUAUAUUAUGUUAUACACCAUAAUCGAGUCGGUGUAUAACACAAAUAAACUAAUAUCCUACAACAAGAUAAAUGCCAGAGAGUAGCAUGUGCAUACAACCCUCCCCCAAUAGAGAAACAACCUUUUGUAUUUUCUCAAACAAAAGUUUCCUGGUGCAAUACAAAUCAACUUAACCCAAAAUUCUACUGUGAGCGAAAAAGGGAAAAUUAAAAAGCUACAACUUUGAAAAAACAUAUACAGAUAAAAAUUGAAAAUGAAUUAAAGAAACAAAUACACUAUAAACACAGACAUAUAAAUUCUAAAACUCCAUUUCCAAUUCUGAUUUCUCGUAAUCCAAAGACAUUAAAAGUAAGAAAAAUGAUUAAAUUAGACAGAAAUUAAUAGCAGGUGUUACCUUCCGACGACGGUAGCUAGGGUUUUGAUGUAGCUAUUGAUGAUCUCAUCCCUAGUGAUAUCACCCUGAGGGGCCUCCAUGACAACCAACCAGUGCUCGAAGUCACACCCGUCGAGGAGGAUCGUCUCCUUGGGAGGCCGGUUCGACCAGUUAGGGUUCGGGUCCCUGAGCGAUGACGUCGUCGAUCUGGUCGACAAGCACCGGGCGAUCGCAGGGGAGAGCCUGCCGGCGGAGGCCAUGACUCCGGCAAGAGGGCGGAGGCGGUGGAGGAGAGAGA